Molecule: ribosomal RNA, 1828 nt
Filed under: Anopheles funestus (African malaria mosquito)
Lineage: Eukaryota; Metazoa; Arthropoda; Insecta; Diptera; Culicidae
Description: eukaryotic small subunit ribosomal RNA
Rfam family: Eukaryotic small subunit ribosomal RNA
Source: RNAcentral
AUUCUGGUGAUCCUACCAGUAUAUACGCUUGUCUCAAAGUUAAGCCAUGCAUGUCUAAGUACAAACAUAUGAAUGUGAAACCGCAUAAGGCUCAGUAUAACAGCUAUAAUUCACAGAUCAUCCUACACUAGUACUUGGUAACUGUGGAAAAUCCAGAGCUAAUACAUCAACAUGCGGGACUGUUGCCCUCGCGGUAGCUGAACUGGUGCACUUAUUAGUAAACCAAUCGCCUCCGGCGGCUUGAGUGUAAGUCUGGAUAAGGACGCAGAUCGUAUGGUCGCUUGUCGACUGACGACAGAUCUUUCAAAUGUCCCUAUCAACUAUUGAUGGAGUGUAGAGGACUACCAUGGUUGCGACGGGUAACGGGAAUCAGGUUCGAUUCCGGAGAGGGAGCCUGAAAUGGCUACCACAUCCAAGGAAGCAGCAGGCGCGUAAAUACCCAAUCCAGUACGGGAGAGUGACGAGAAAUACAAUAUGACCCUCUCAACGAUGUCCAUAAUUGGAAUGAGUUGAGUAUAAAUCCUUCAACAAGGAUCAAGUGGAGGGCAAGUCUGGCCAGCAGCCGCGUAAUUCCAGCUCCACUAGCGUAUAUUAAAGUGUUGCGUGUAAAACGUUCGAAGUGAUUGCCCUCCAGACACGUGACCGCCACGGCGCCGUUACACGCCGGGCCGUUCCGCGCGCUCACGCUGCGACUCACAAUGUGUACUUGGCGUUACUCUUUGAACGAGUACCGUGCUACCGGUUAACUCCGGACGGCUCCUCAUGGUCUCAAGAUACUCACAUUACCUUGAACAAAUUAGAGUGCUCAAAGCAGGCUAAGACAAAGCGUCCGGCCCCCCCGUGGGGGCGUUGCCGAGAAUAAUCUGCAUGGAAUAAUGAAUAUGAACCUCGUUUAUACGAUUUCGUUGGUUUCAGAAACCUAGAGGUAAUGAUUAACAGAAGUAGUGGGGCAUUGGUAUUACGCGCGCGAGAGGUGAAAUUCGUAGACCGUCGUAGACCAACUGAAGCGAAAGCGUUUGCCAUGGAUGCUUCUUUAAUCAAGAACGAAAGUUAGAGGAUCGAAGGCAUUAGAUACCGCCCUAGUUCUAACCGUAAACGAUCCAAAGCAAUUGGAGACGCUACCCUAUUCGGUGCUCUCAGUCGCUUCCGGGAAACAAAAUCGGCUUCCGGGGAAGUAUGGUUGCAAAGUUGAAACUUAAAGGAAUUGACGGAAGGCACCACAAGAAUGGAGCUUGCGGCUUAAUUGACUCAACACGGGAAAAUUUACCAGGUCCAAACUUAUCGAGGUAAGACAGAUUGAUAGCUCUUUCUCAAAUUUAAGGUAGUGGCAUGCCGUUCUUAGUUCGUGGAAUGAUUUGUCUGUUAAUUCCGAUAACGAACGUGACUCACAUGCUAACUAGAACGCUGUCAGCAGUGCGCCUCCGGGCGCACCUGACGUUACACGGCGGCGCCUUCACGGGCGGUCGUCGCUACGUUUGCCCUGCUUAGCGGACAACUUGUGUUAGCAACUGAGAAUGAGCGAUAACAGGUCCGUGAUGCGCCUUAGAUGUUCUGGCUGCACGCGUGCUACAAUGUGGGUCGCAGCGUGUCUCUCCCAAUAGCGCCCCCAUUCCGAGAGAACGGAAAUCACUUAAAAUGCCCAUCUAGUCGGGAUUGGGGACUGCAACGGUCCCCAUAACCUGAAUUCUAGUAAGCACUAGUCAUUAGCUAAGCUGACUAAUCGUCUGCCCUUUGUACACACCGCCCUUGCACCCUACUUUACUGAAUGGAAUUCAUAGUCGAGUUCGGGUACUUAACCUCCGCAUGGUUUCCUUCUGGAAGACCGAGC